RNAcentral lists this non-coding RNA (78 nucleotides) under unclassified sequences. RNAcentral's name for it is "L13-Bacteroidia ribosomal protein leader". It matches the Rfam family "L13-Bacteroidia ribosomal protein leader". The record is from RNAcentral.
GGGGGCACACUUAGAAGACCCCCUGUGCUGGUGUGUUAAUAGUGACUCUUUUGGUCCGAGAGCCAUGGUUAGUGAAUC